GCAUAUCAAUAAGCGGAGGAAAAGAAACCAACAGGGAUUGCCCUAGUAACGGCGAGUGAAGCGGCAACAGCUCAAAUUUGAAAUCUGGCGCAAGCCCGAGUUGUAAUUUGUAGAGGAUGCUUCUGGGUAGCGACCGAUCUAAGUUCCUUGGAACAGGACGUCAUAGAGGGUGAGAAUCCCGUAUGUGACCGGCCCGCACCCUUUACGUAGCUCCUUCGACGAGUCGAGUUGUUUGGGAAUGCAGCUCUAAAUGGGAGGUAAAUUUCUUCUAAAGCUAAAUACCGGCCAGAGACCGAUAGCGCACAAGUAGAGUGAUCGAAAGAUGAAAAGUACUUUGGAAAGAGAGUUAAAAAGCACGUGAAAUUGUUGAAAGGGAAGCGCCUGCAACCAGACUUCGUGGCAGUGUUCCGCCGGUCUUCUGACCGGUUUAUUCUCUGUCGCGAGGCCAUCAUCGUCUAGGCCCGCCGGAUAAGACCUUAGGAAUGUAGCUCACCUUCGGGGGAGUGUUAUAGCCUAUGGUGAUGCGGCGAGGCUUGGGCGAGGUCCGCGCUUCGGCAAGGAUGAUGGCGUAAUGGUUGUCGGCGGCCCGUCUUGAAACACGGACCAAGGAGUCUAACAUCUAUGCGAGUGUUCGGGUGUCAAACCCCUACGCGUAAUGAAAGUGAACGGAGGUGGGAACCGCAAGGUGCACCAUCGACCGAUCCUGAUGUCCUCGGAUGGAUUUGAGUAAGAGCAUAGCUGUUGGGACCCGAAAGAUGGUGAACUAUGCCUGAAUAGGGUGAAGCCAGAGGAAACUCUGGUGGAGGCUCGCAGCGGUUCUGACGUGCAAAUCGAUCGUCAAAUUUGGGUAUAGGGGCGAAAGACUAAUCGAACCAUCUAGUAGCUGGUUCCUGCG
This 895-nucleotide ribosomal RNA is filed under the name Septoria eucalyptorum. RNAcentral describes it as "LSU rRNA". It matches the Rfam family "Eukaryotic large subunit ribosomal RNA", at positions 38 to 962 of the family's 3401-position model. Lineage: Eukaryota; Fungi; Ascomycota; Dothideomycetes; Mycosphaerellales; Mycosphaerellaceae. The record is from RNAcentral.